GUCCGGGGAUGGGAACGGGCUGCGGUCCCCUCUCCUGCUCCGAGGUUUCUUUAGGGCUCUUUCGCUUUCUUUCCUUUUUUCUUCUUAUUUUUUUUACUUUAAGGGGGAGGCUGUUUAUAAAUCUGUGCUUCACAAGCGGCUGAAUGCCGAUAGCCCCGUGCUCGGCUCGCUCGGAUGCCGCACACACAUGCACCGAGUUGGUGGGGGGGGGGGGACGGGGACGGGAAGGAGAACGGGAAGGAAUAGUCCUCGCCGCCCCCCCUUUCCUCCCAACCCUCCAGCAAAAAAAAGCCCUUUUCGAGCAUCUUCCCAUCGGGAGGGCUGUCGCUCGCUCGAGAAUAACUGGAUGGCAUCGAUCUGUCUCCCCACAGAAAGAGGUUUCUGGCCAGCAGCUCCAAGGACUGUCAUGGCCACGCUGUGCGUUUGGGAACGUCAUGCAAUGGGGCUUUAACUGUGAAUGGAGGACAUCCUGGCCCCACUACGGGUGGGAUAAGAACAACUCUCACCUCAAGGGUGAGUGCUUAGGAGUGGAGGCAAAGCCAGCUGGUGGAGCAAGUGACAGGGGCAGGUCUCCCUGAGAAGAAAAUCAGCCCAUGUGCGCCCAAAAUGACCCAAACCACAACUUUAUGGAGGCUCUUCUGGCUGUAGGGCGCACUGAUGACAGAGCCAGCUCCCACCAUCUGUGGAUUUCCUCAUCCUGGCAGCUCAGUGGGGAGCAGCAGGUCCUAGCUCAAUGCCUUGUGGUCCAGAUGCCACGGACCAUCCACCCUGGUUUCAAUAAGAGCAGUGCCCCUACAACACCACGGUGAGCAGCUGCACAGAGGUUUGAGCCGUUCCAGGGUGGAGGCCACCUUCUCCAUCCCCACGUUUGCCAUAACCCCAAAUCCAGCCCCAUCACGUGCAAUGAUAAAAAGGGAAUUGGCAGCACAAAACUCAUCCUGAUUUCCAGGUUGAUGUCUGCACAACCCUACUGGCUUCUCCGAAAGAAACAAGAGACACAAGCCUGUUCUGUCCCAAGGUUUCCCACUAGGCUAAUUACUGCUAAUUGUACCACUUCGCUAUCUCGCCAGCCACACCCUGAGCAGGGCUGAUAGGGUAUCAGUGAGAUAAGGAGCACUUGGAUAGCACAGGUAACAGAACUUUGGGAGGGGUUAUCACCCCUACCACCCUCCUUUGGGGUACACCAAGGUCCUAAGGAUGUGUGCAGAGACUGGCAUCCAACUGUAAGCCUUUUGGGAAACGCUACUGUUGGUGAUUGUAUCUGCAAGCUGCAGAGAAGCAAGCUGGCAUUCAUUUCAUAGUAAUUCCUUUAAAUUCACUUAGCAUGCGGAUUACUCGUAUGAGCUGCUCUCGUUGUUGUUAACACAACACUGAGGAAAUGGAGGUUUCACCAUUUCUCCAUUUUUCCCCCCUCCCACAGAGAAAUAAACGCUGUUCUUUUAACAAAUGCUGCGUCUCUCACUUCAUUUCUUACUUCUCCCCAUCUCUGCUGGCCUACCUGAAGCAAUUCAGCUCCGAC
This 1519-nucleotide long non-coding RNA is filed under the name Pavo cristatus (Indian peafowl). Its description in RNAcentral is "lncRNA (ENSPSTG00000010195.1)". The record is from RNAcentral. Lineage: Eukaryota; Metazoa; Chordata; Aves; Galliformes; Phasianidae.